UACACCUGGCAAGUCGAACGGCAGCAUGAAAAGAGCUUGCUCUUUUUGAUGGCGAGUGGCGGACGGGUGAGUAAUGCGUAGGGAUCUACCUUGUGGCGGGGGAUAACUUGGGGAAACUCGAGCUAAUACCGCAUAAGUUCUACGGAAGAAAGCAUGGGACCUUUCGGGGCCAUGCACCAUAAGAUGAGUCUACGUUGGAUUAGCUUGUUGGUGGGGUAAAGGCCUACCAAGGCGAAGAUCUAUAGCUGGUCUGAGAGGAUGAUCAGCCACACUGGGACUGAGAUACGGCCCAGACUCCUACGGGAGGCAGCAGUGGGGAAUAUUGGACAAUGGGGGCAACCCUGAUCCAGCAAUGCCGCGUGUGCGAAGAAGGCCUGCGGGUUGUAAAGCACUUUAGGUAGGGAGGAAAUGCUUAAGAUGAAUAAGCUUAAGUCUUGACGUUACCUACAGAAUAAGCACCGGCUAACUCUGUGCCAGCAGCCGCGGUAAUACAGAGGGUGCAAGCGUUAAUCGGAAUGACUGGGCGUAAAGGGCGUGUAGGCGGAUAGCUGAGUUAGAUGUGAAAUCUCCGGGCUUAACCUGGGAAGGGCAUUUAAUACUGGCUGAUCUAGAGUAGAGUAGAGGGGAGUGGAAUUUCCGGUGUAGCAGUGAAAUGCGUAGAUAUCGGAAAGAACACCGGUGGCGAAGGCGGCUCUCUGGACUCAUACUGACGCUGAGGCGCGAAAGCGUGGGUAGCGAACAGGAUUAGAUACCCUGGUAGUCCACGCAGUAAACGAUGAAAACUAGAUGUUGGUAGGUUAAACCUAUCAGUAUCGCAGCUAACGCGUUAAGUUUUCCGCCUGGGGAGUACGGCCGCAAGGCUAAAACUCAAAGGAAUUGACGGGGGCCCGCACAAGCGGUGGAGCAUGUGGUUUAAUUCGAUGCAACGCGAAGAACCUUACCUACCCUUGACAUCCUAGAAGCUUUCAGAGAUGAGAGUGUGCCGAAAGGAACCUGGAGACAGUGCUGCAUGCUGUCGUCAGCUCGUGUCGUGAGAUGUGGGUAGUCCGUACGAGCGCACCCUAUCCUAGUGCAGCACAUUAUGGUGGGAACUCUAGGAAACUGCCGGUGAUAA
Molecule: ribosomal RNA, 1114 nt
Filed under: uncultured bacterium
Lineage: Bacteria
Description: bacterial SSU rRNA
Rfam family: Bacterial small subunit ribosomal RNA
Source: RNAcentral